UACGUAAGUGGCGAGCGUUAUCCGGAAUCACUGGGCGUAAAGCGUGCGUAGGCGGUGCGGUAAGUUGGAAUUGAAAUCCCAGGGCUCAACUCUGGACCCGGUUCCAAAACUGUCGCGCUUGAGCAGAUCAGAGGACAGCGGAAUUCCCGGUGUAGCGGUAAUAUGCGUAGAGAUCCGGAGGAACCCCAGAGGCGAAGGCGGCAUUCUGGCUCGCAACUGACGCUCAGACACGACAGCAUGGGGAGCGAACGGG
Molecule: ribosomal RNA, 253 nt
Filed under: uncultured bacterium
Lineage: Bacteria
Description: partial 16S ribosomal RNA
Rfam family: Bacterial small subunit ribosomal RNA
Source: RNAcentral